This 62-nucleotide transfer RNA is filed under the name Chaetopleura apiculata. RNAcentral's name for it is "tRNA-Arg". Lineage: Eukaryota; Metazoa; Mollusca; Polyplacophora; Chitonida; Chaetopleuridae. The record is from RNAcentral.
AUCCUAGUUAUAUUUAAUAUGGUUUCGGCCCAUAUAAGAACAAUAAGCUUUGUUUUAGGAUU